Molecule: non-coding RNA, 98 nt
Filed under: Janthinobacterium sp. KBS0711
Lineage: Bacteria; Pseudomonadati; Pseudomonadota; Betaproteobacteria; Burkholderiales; Oxalobacteraceae
Also listed under: 1 other name
Description: TPP riboswitch aptamer (THI element)
Rfam family: TPP riboswitch aptamer (THI element)
About the family: Vitamin B(1) in its active form thiamin pyrophosphate (TPP) is an essential coenzyme that is synthesised by coupling of pyrimidine and thiazole moieties in bacteria. The previously detected thiamin-regulatory element, thi box was extended, resulting in a new, highly conserved RNA secondary structure, the THI element, which is widely distributed in eubacteria and also occurs in some archaea.
Source: Rfam by way of RNAcentral
UCAUUUCGCUAGGGGUCCUGGAGCAGUCAUCCGGGUGAGAGAUACCCUUCGUACCUGAUCUGGAUAAUGCCAGCGAAGGAAAGCGCAAAGUACCUCCC